AUUUGGUGUUGAGGACACUUGAUACACAACUUCUUGAAUCACUCCUAGUAAUCAUAAAGCGACUCUCUUGGAUGCUGUUUGAUACGGCAUAUCUCCUUCCUUAGAUU
Small nucleolar RNA from Coffea arabica (coffee), 107 nucleotides. The record is from RefSeq and is a predicted model, not a curated record. NCBI's taxonomy places the organism in Eukaryota, Viridiplantae, Streptophyta, Magnoliopsida, Gentianales, Rubiaceae.